AUGCCUAGCCGUAAAAUAUUAACCCACACUUAAAACCGCCAGGGAAUUACGAGCCCAAGCUUAAAACCCAAAGGACUUGACGGUGUCCCACCCACCUAGAGGAGCCUGUUCUAUAAUCGAUUCUCCCCGAUACACCUCACCCCUUCUUGCCUCUCAGUCUGUAUACCUCCGUCGUAAGCUUACCAUGUGAACGAAGCUAGUGAGCUUAAAGAUCUCCCACCCAUACGUCAGGUCAAGGUGCAGCUUACGAAGGGGGAAGAAAUGGGCUACAAUUUCUAAUUUAGAACAAACGAAAGACCACAUGAAAACCAGUCAUGAAGGCGGAUUUAGUAGUAAAAAGAAAAUAAAAUGUUCUUUUUAAUAAGGCCCUGGGACGCGUACACA
Molecule: ribosomal RNA, 384 nt
Filed under: Elachistocleis bicolor (two-colored oval frog)
Lineage: Eukaryota; Metazoa; Chordata; Amphibia; Anura; Microhylidae
Description: partial small subunit ribosomal RNA
Rfam family: Bacterial small subunit ribosomal RNA
Source: RNAcentral